Molecule: ribosomal RNA, 1185 nt
Filed under: uncultured bacterium
Lineage: Bacteria
Description: bacterial SSU rRNA
Rfam family: Bacterial small subunit ribosomal RNA
Source: RNAcentral
GACCUCACGUUAUUCGAGCGGCCGACGUCUGAUUAGCUAGUUGGUGGGGUAAUGGCCUACCAAGGCGACGAUCAGUAGCGGGUCUGAGAGGAUGAUCCGCCACACUGGAACUGAGACACGGUCCAGACUCCUACGGGAGGCAGCAGUGGGGAAUUUUGGACAAUGGGGGCAACCCUGAUCCAGCCAUUCCGCGUGAGUGAAGAAGGCCUUCGGGUUGUAAAGCUCUUUCAGCUGGAACGAAACGGUGCGCUCUAACAUAGCGUGCUAAUGACGGUACCAGCAGAAGAAGCACCGGCUAACUACGUGCCCNGCAGCCGCGGUAAUACGUAGGGUGCGAGCGUUAAUCGGAAUUACUGGGCGUAAAGCGUGCGCAGGCGGAUUGUUAAGCAAGAUGUGAAAUCCCCGGGGCUUAACCUGGGAAUGGCAUUUUGAACUGGCAGUCUAGAGUGCGUCAGAGGGGGGUGGAAUUCCACGUGUAGCAGUGAAAUGCGUAGAGAUGUGGAGGAACACCAAUGGCGAAGGCAGNCCCCUGGGAUGACACUGACGCUCAUGUACGAAAGCGUGGGUAGCAAACAGGAUUAGAUACCCUGGUAGUCCACGCCCUAAACGAUGUCAACUGGUUGUUGGGGGAGUGAAAUCCCUUAGUAACGAAGCUAACGCGUGAAGUUGACCGCCUGGGGAGUACGGUCGCAAGAUUAAAACUCAAAGGAAUUGACGGGGACCCGCACAAGCGGUGGAUUAUGUGGAUUAAUUCGAUGCAACGCGAAAAACCUUACCUACCCUUGACAUGCUUGGAAUCUAAUGGAGACAUAAGAGUGCCCGAAAGGGAGCCAAGACACAGGUGCUGCAUGGCUGUCGUCAGCUCGUGUCGUGAGAUGUUGGGUUAAGUCCCGCAACGAGCGCAACCCUUGUCACUAAUUGCUAUCAUUUUUAAUGAGCACUUUAGUGAGACUGCCGGUGACAAACCGGAGGAAGGUGGGGAUGACGUCAAGUCCUCAUGGCCCUUAUGGGUAGGGCUUCACACGUAAUACAAUGGCGUGUACAGAGGGUUGCCAACCCGCGAGGGGGAGCCAAUCUCAGAAAGCACGUCGUAGUCCGGAUCGGAGUCUGCAACUCGACUCCGUGAAGUCGGAAUCGCUAGUAAUCGCGGAUCAGCAUGCCGCGGUGAAUACGUUCCCGGGUCUU